GGAUGUGGCUAUUCUGGUUCUGAUCCCGUUGACUACCGUGGUUGAUUUGGCAGAUCUGAUUGCCUAGGGUAGAUGUCCACCUUCUUCCUUUAUCAUUUCACGUGUGUCCUUCUCAAAGCUGCAUACACUUUUCAGAGAAGAUGACCUUCCUCAAAGGAUGAGGACCAUUCUCAAGUCAAAGGCACAUGGAUUGUUGUGCUUUCUUGCUAGAGUCUUCAAAUACGUUUUCAAGAGAUAGAUAUGUGCUGCUUUACAAAUUCUUCCUGGGACUACUAUUUAAUUUGCAAUUUUGAAGCUUAAU
Mus musculus (house mouse) is the source of this 301-nucleotide non-coding RNA. The record is from Rfam. NCBI's taxonomy places the organism in Eukaryota, Metazoa, Chordata, Mammalia, Rodentia, Muridae.